Molecule: long non-coding RNA, 2992 nt
Organism: Rhineura floridana
Lineage: Eukaryota; Metazoa; Chordata; Lepidosauria; Squamata; Rhineuridae
Exons: 4
Source: RefSeq, a predicted model, not a curated record
ACUAGAAGGGAUCCUGAGAGAACAUUCAGCUCAUCCUCUGUCCCACAACAUUAUGCAGGUGAAUCACUCUUUUCUUGAACAUAACUGAGAACACCUACAUUCACUUCUGCGAAGAAGAAAGAAUGGUUUUAACGAUACCCUCGCUCUCAGCCAAUCUUCAUAGCUACAAUUGGAUGGAGGCCAGGAGACUGUAAGGAAGACCAACCCUCUGGUAGAAAAAAGGAUCCUACAUAAACCUAUCCUUCUCAACGGACUAUGCACCAUCGAAGACCAGAAAAACCAAUCCACAUCCUCUUUUAGGAACCUCUUCUUGUCUUUUAAGAUUAUCAUCAGUCUCUCUCUUUUUCAAGGUUUUUUGUUCAUCCUGAAACUUAUCAAGAUGACGACCAUUUCUGGACACAUGUAUUGGGAUAAAGCCUCACACGUGCUGCUACAUCCAUUCCCACCAUAAAAUAUGUUUUUGUACAAGAAUAUACCUGUAUGUUUAAAGAUGUCAUGUGGAAAUAAAAACAAGUCUUGAAGAAGUCUUGAAGAAAGAUUGAAGGUGGAGCUCUCAGUGGUUUUUUUACAGCAACCGGACAGCAGAUGAAACAAGUAAAUUUCCAGAAUCCUCCAUCAUUAUACAGUUUUCAACUAUCUUCAAUUAUUCAUCAAGCCAUAUAAUUUGCUGAUUUGCUUAGAACAGGGAGUGGAGAGAUGGCCUCUUGAGAAAUCUAGUAUUGUUUUCUGUUGUUACACAUAGAACAAUCAAGAAAUUACUAACCUGUUAAGCUUUUGCAGAUAAUUGAUUUUCAUUUUCUACAACAUACCUUUUACAAAUGUAGUAGAAAUUUAUUAGCAGUUAAUGAAAGCAAUAAUGUUGGGAGAUGAACUCAUACACAAUUUUUAAUCAGUAGCAAAAUAAUUUCUUUUCCUUUUAAUUAAAAAUGUACAGAAAAUUUACAAACAUCCACUCAUUUAAACUGAGGUAUUUCCAUUCUUUUUUUAAAAAAAUACAAUAUAUUUUACAAUAAAGUGCAAUAUGUAAAAUAUUUUUUGCCCUAAAUGUAAACUAGGUAACAAGCAAUCGAUACUUGUGUUACAUCUUUAUUUUGUUUGGUUUUGAUAGCAUUUAAGGCAUGUUGCAAAUAAUUAUAUGUUACAAAGAUAGCAGCUGAGAAUAUAUUAAAAUAGAUCCCAGUUCAACAGCCUUUGUGAGGCCAAGUCAAUAUCUUCUCUGUGUUAGGGGUUGAGUGUAAGCAGAUGUGCUCCUAUAUCUCUGCAUAGGAGGCAUGAUGUCCAUGUGCGAGGGAGAUCCGACCUAUAAGAAGAAAACACAACAAAAUCAUUCAUAGCAACUUAAAAGAAAUUAUUCUGACAAUAAUAUGCUAUUUUCUAUUAUAAAUCACUUGCAACAAUUUGUGUCCAAGCCAGAACUAGUACUAUGUUUGCUAAUUGUAGUGAGAGUGACAUUUACUAAACAAAGUACAGAAACUUAAGAAAAGAAUGGUCAACAGAAUUUGGGGGGUUAUUAAAUGAGAAAACAACAGUUUCUAAUUUAAGGGGCGUUGAGGGGCCAUAGGAUGCUAUGGACCUCUCUCCUAUGGUGGGGAGAAAGGGCUGCCACUGGAGACCACCACUGCCACUGUGCACAUCAGAAGUACACAUCUUGCUAGAUCAGAUUAAAAUCAAUGUAGUCCAGCAUUAUGGUUCACACAGUGGCUAAACGUAUGUGUCUGAAAGCCCACAAGUGAAUGAUUAUCUGCAGCAUUUGCAUCCUAUAAACAACAUAUUGUUCAUGUGGCUAUUACAAUGGAAGAGCAAACAGGUAUGCUUACCAAAGGGGAAAUAGUCUGCAAAACACUUGUAGACAAUGGGAGUUUGUUCAUGGUUUCAUGGACAUCUAAAAUUAUAUAAAAUAAGAUACUGGUAUUAUAUGGUAGGAAAAAAACAAAGUGUACAUUCAUUUAUACUUCCUUCAGAUAGUAAUACAGACUUUGGCUUGUAUCCAACAUAGCAUCGAGUAAGCAUCCCGUCAUUGCAAGGAUUCCUGUUUAUGCUAUGGAAGUCCCCCCCCCACUUCUCCUUUCCCUGCACACCCCCUGUAUCUGUUCUGGAGUUUCCCCUAACCCUAUAGAUUUGUGGAGAGCACUGGUCAGGCAUGGGGGAGGAGAGGGAGGAAUGACCCAUUGCACAAGCAGAAAUUCUUGCAUUGACAGGAUGUUUAGCACUACAUUAGAUACAAGCCUACUGCAAUGUUACCUACAUUUUUUUCUUUGAUGGAAUGUAGAAGCAUUUAUUCUAUUUCAUAUUAAUCAAUUUAUUUCAAACUCAAGGUUUCUCAAUGUGUAUUAGUCAUGAUAGCUAUAUGGAAACCUUCAUGCUCAGAAGCAGACUGAGUGCCAGUUGCUACAGAGCUACAAUGGGAAAGGGCAAUUGUUUGGGGGCUUCCGAAAGGCACUUGGUUGGCCACUGUGGGAAACAGAAUGCUGGGUUAGAUGGAUUUUCCUAGCACAGAGCUCAUUCUAUGUUCUCAAUCAUCAAGUUCAGCUUCUUUGGGCCAUUCAGUCUGCAAGUGGGUAGUAGCUUUGAAUUCACUGAUAAGUAAUGCUGUUUCUGGACCGGGAUAGCCUGACCACUGUUGUCCAUGCACUGGUAACGUCCAGGUUGGAUUACUGUAAUGCGCUCUAUGUGGGGCCUGCCCUUGAGGUUGGUCCAGAAACUGCAGCUGGUGCAAAAUGCGGUUGCCAGACUGUUCACUGGGGCAGGGUAUCGCCAACAUGUCACCCUGCUGCUGGAAGAAUUGCACUGGCUGCCCAUUUGCUACCAGUCCAAGUUCAAGGUUCUAGUUUUAAUGUACAAACUUUACUGUGGCGGCAUCUACCCUGUGGAACUCCCUCCCCUUAAAUAUUAGACAGGCGCCAUCUCUGUUAUCUUUUUGGCACCUACUGAAGACCUUCUUCUUUCAACAACCCUUUUAAGUUGAGACCUUAUCCCAGUCUGCUUCAGUGUU